CGGGGCGUAGCGCAGUUCGGCCAGCGCGCAUCGUUCGGGUCGAUGAGGUCCCCGGUUCAAAUCCGGGCGCCCCGA
This 75-nucleotide transfer RNA is filed under the name Anaerolineae bacterium. RNAcentral describes it as "tRNA-Pro". It matches the Rfam family "tRNA". Rfam says of the family: Transfer RNA (tRNA) molecules are approximately 80 nucleotides in length. Their secondary structure includes four short double-helical elements and three loops (D, anti-codon, and T loops). Further hydrogen bonds mediate the characteristic L-shaped molecular structure. tRNAs have two regions of fundamental functional importance: the anti-codon, which is responsible for specific mRNA codon recognition, and the 3' end, to which the tRNAs corresponding amino acid is attached (by aminoacyl-tRNA synthetases). tRNAs cope with the degeneracy of the genetic code in two manners: having more than one tRNA (with a specific anti-codon) for a particular amino acid; and 'wobble' base-pairing, i.e. permitting non-standard base-pairing at the 3rd anti-codon position. Lineage: Bacteria; Bacillati; Chloroflexota; Anaerolineae. The record is from RNAcentral.